Molecule: ribosomal RNA, 429 nt
Filed under: Fusobacteriota bacterium
Lineage: Bacteria; Fusobacteriati; Fusobacteriota
Description: Fusobacteria bacterium partial 16S ribosomal RNA
Rfam family: Bacterial small subunit ribosomal RNA
Source: RNAcentral
UGGGGAAUAUUGCACAAUGGGCGCAAGCCUGAUGCAGCCAUGCCGCGUGUAUGAAGAAGGCCUUCGGGUUGUAAAGUACUUUCAGCGGGGAGGAAGGGAGUAAAGUUAAUACCUUUGCUCAUUGACGUUACCCGCAGAAGAAGCACCGGCUAACUCCGUGCCAGCAGCCGCGGUAAUACGGAGGGUGCAAGCGUUAAUCGGAAUUGCUGGGCGUAAAGCGCACGCAGGCGGUUUGUUAAGUCAGAUGUGAAAUCCCCGGGCUCAACCUGGGAACUGCAUCUGAUACUGGCAAGCUUGAGUCUCGUAGAGGGGGGUAGAAUUCCAGGUGUAGCGGUGAAAUGCGUAGAGAUCUGGAGGAAUACCGGUGGCGAAGGCGGCCCCCUGGACGAAGACUGACGCUCAGGUGCGAAAGCGUGGGGAGCAAACAGG